UACGUAGGGAGCAAGCGUUGUCCGGAAUUAUUGGGCGUAAAGAGCUCGUAGGCGGUUCGUCGCGUCGGCUGUGAAAUCCCGGAGCUCAACUCCGGGUCUGCAGUCGAUACGGGCGGACUUGAGUACUGCAGGGGAGACUGGAAUUCCUGGUGUAGCGGUGAAAUGCGCAGAUAUCAGGAGGAACACCGGUGGCGAAGGCGGGUCUCUGGGCAGUAACUGACGCUGAGGAGCGAAAGCGUGGGGAGCGAACAGG
RNAcentral lists this ribosomal RNA (253 nucleotides) under uncultured bacterium. RNAcentral describes it as "partial 16S ribosomal RNA". It matches the Rfam family "Bacterial small subunit ribosomal RNA", at positions 524 to 776 of the family's 1533-position model. The record is from RNAcentral.